RNAcentral lists this ribosomal RNA (468 nucleotides) under uncultured Micromonas. RNAcentral's name for it is "partial Bacterial large subunit ribosomal RNA". It matches the Rfam family "Bacterial large subunit ribosomal RNA", at positions 1301 to 1884 of the family's 2925-position model. The record is from RNAcentral. Lineage: Eukaryota; Viridiplantae; Chlorophyta; Mamiellophyceae; Mamiellales.
CAUGAGUAGCGACAAAGAGUGUGAGAGACACUCUCGCCGAAAGUCCAAGGGUUCCUGCUUAAAGCUAAUCUGAGCAGGGUAAGCCGACCCCUAAGGCGAGGCCGAAAGGCGUAGUCGAUGGGAACCAGGUUAAUAUUCCUGGGCCAGGAGGAUGUGACGGAUUGUGGCGGCGUGCGUGCCUUAUCGGAUUGGCGCGUAUCCAAGACAGUCCCUGGAAAUAGCCCUCCAUUAGAUCGUACCCUAAACCGACACAGGUGGACUGGUAGAGAAUACCAAGGCGCUUGAGAGAACUAUGUUGAAGGAACUCGGCAAAAUACCUCCGUAAGUUCGCGAGAAGGAGGCCCGGCGUAAGAGCGUCGGGGGCACAAACCAGGGGGUGGCGACUGUUUAUUAAAAACACAGGGCUCUGCGAAGUCGCAAGACGACGUAUAGGGUCUGACGCCUGCCCGGUGCCGGAAGGUUAAAAGG